Molecule: ribosomal RNA, 402 nt
Filed under: Triticum aestivum (bread wheat)
Lineage: Eukaryota; Viridiplantae; Streptophyta; Magnoliopsida; Poales; Poaceae
Description: partial small subunit ribosomal RNA
Source: RNAcentral
AUGCUACAGUGGCCAAUUCCCACAUCUGUAACUGAAUUGAGGGGUUUUCUGGGACUCACUGGAUAUUACAGAAAGUUUGUGAGGAAUUAUGGGGUGUUGGCCAAACCCUUGAUUGCCUUGUUGAAGAAACAAGCAUUCUCCUGGUCUGAUGAGGCACAACAAGCUUUCCAGCUGCUCAAACAAGCCAUGGUUAACACUCCUGUGUUAGCUCUUCCCAACUUUGACAAGACCUUUACUGUAGAAACUGAUGCUUGCAACACUGGAGUGGGAGUUGUUCUGUCCCAGGAGGGUCAUCCCAUUGCAUAUUACAGCAAAGCCUUGGGAGUGCAAAAUCAGAAGAAAUCCAUAUAUGAGAAGGAGUUUUUGGCAAUUAUGUUGGCCAUAGACAGAUGGAGAUCUUAG